AGGUGGUGCAUGGUUGUCGUCAGCUCGUGUCGUGAGAUGUUGGGUUAAGUCCCGCAACGAGCGCAACCCCUAUUGUAGUUGCCAUCAUUCAGUUGGGCACUCUAGCGAGACUGCCGGUAAUAAACCGGAGGAAGGUGGGGAUGACGUCAAAUCAUCAUGCCCCUUAUGACCUGGGCUACACACGUGCUACAAUGGUUGGUACAACGAGUUGCGAGUCGGUGACGGCGAGCUAAUCUCUUAAAGCCAAUCUCAGUUCGGAUUGUAGGCUGCAACUCGCCUACAUGAAGUCGGAAUCGCUAGUAAUCGCGGAUCAGCACGCCGCGGUGAAUACGUUCCCGGGCCUU
RNAcentral lists this ribosomal RNA (344 nucleotides) under uncultured Streptococcus sp. RNAcentral's name for it is "bacterial SSU rRNA". It matches the Rfam family "Bacterial small subunit ribosomal RNA", at positions 1036 to 1382 of the family's 1533-position model. Lineage: Bacteria; Bacillati; Bacillota; Bacilli; Lactobacillales; Streptococcaceae. The record is from RNAcentral.